Molecule: ribosomal RNA, 463 nt
Filed under: uncultured bacterium
Lineage: Bacteria
Description: SSU rRNA
Rfam family: Bacterial small subunit ribosomal RNA
Source: RNAcentral
AGGACGAACGCUUGCGACGUGCCUAAGAAAUGCAAGUCGAACGGGGUAGCAAUACCUAGUGGCGAACGGUCGCGUAACACGUGGGCAACCUGCCCUGAAGCGGGGGACAACAACUCGAAAGAGUUGCUAAUACCGCAUGUGUAUCGGAAUGGCAUCAUUCAGGAUACAAAGCCACAAGGCACUUCAGGAUGGGCCCGCGGCCUAUCAGCUAGUUGGUGAGGUAACGGCCCACCAAGGCUUCGACGGGUAGCUGGUCUGAGAGGACGAUCAGCCGGAUUGGGACUGAGAUACGGCCCAGACUCCUACGGGGGCAGCAAUUAGGAAUCUUGCACAAUGGGCGAAAGCCUGAUGCAGCGACGUCGCGUGAAGGAUGAAAUCUUUCGGGAUGUAAACUUCUUUUUCGGGAAGAAAUCAAUGACGGUACCCGAAGAAUAAGCCCGGCUAACUACGUGCCAGCAGCCGC